GAUGAAGAACGCAGCGAAAUGCGAUAAGUAGUGUGAAUUGCAGAAUUCAGUGAAUCAUCGAAUCUUUGAACGCACAUUGCGCCUCCUGGUAUUCCGGGAGGCAUGCCUGUUCGAGCGUCAUCAAAAACCUCAACCCAUGAUUUAUUGUGAGUUGGUUCUGCAUUGGACUCCUUGUGGGUCCUUUGCGAAAUCCAAUGGCGAAGAGCCACGCAACCAAAGCGUAGUAUAACUAUUUCGUUAUGGAAGCGUGGGUGCCUCUGCCGUAACCCCCAAUUUCUUAGUUUUUGACCUCGGAUCAGGUAGGGAUACCCGCUGAACUUAAGCAUAUCAAUAAGCGGAGGA
RNAcentral lists this unclassified non-coding RNA (342 nucleotides) under soil metagenome. RNAcentral describes it as "partial contains 5.8S ribosomal RNA, internal transcribed spacer 2, and large subunit ribosomal RNA". The stretch from base 1 to 120 matches the Rfam family "5.8S ribosomal RNA", at positions 35 to 154 of the family's 154-position model. The record is from RNAcentral.